GUCUAUUGCCAUACCAUCCUGAAUGCACCUGAUCUUGGCUGAUCUCUGAAGCUAAACAGGGUCAGCCCCGUUAGUACUUGGAUGGGAGACCACCUGGGAAUACCAGGUGCUGUAGGCU
Molecule: ribosomal RNA, 118 nt
Filed under: Pteropus alecto (black flying fox)
Lineage: Eukaryota; Metazoa; Chordata; Mammalia; Chiroptera; Pteropodidae
Source: RNAcentral